This 214-nucleotide ribosomal RNA is filed under the name uncultured Glomus. Its description in RNAcentral is "partial small subunit ribosomal RNA". The stretch from base 37 to 214 matches the Rfam family "Eukaryotic small subunit ribosomal RNA", at positions 685 to 864 of the family's 1831-position model. Lineage: Eukaryota; Fungi; Glomeromycota; Glomeromycetes; Glomerales; Glomeraceae. The record is from RNAcentral.
GGAUCAAUAUGUCGGUCGUGCCUUGGUACGUACUAGUUUAUUGGUUUCUUCCUUCUGACGAACCAUGAUGUCAUUAAUUUGGUGUCUUGGGGAAUCAGGACUGUUACUUUGAAAAAAUUAGAGUGUUUAAAGCAGGCUCACGCUUGAAUACAUUAGCAUGGAAUAAUGAAAUAGGACGUUUGAUUCUAUUUUGUUGGUUUCUAGGAUCGACGUA